Molecule: small RNA, 187 nt
Filed under: Terrabacter sp.
Lineage: Bacteria; Bacillati; Actinomycetota; Actinomycetes; Micrococcales; Intrasporangiaceae
Description: c-di-AMP sequence
Rfam family: c-di-AMP riboswitch aptamer (ydaO/yuaA leader)
About the family: This family represents a conserved RNA structure found upstream of the ydaO and yuaA genes in Bacillus subtilis and related genes in other bacteria.
Source: RNAcentral
CGAGCGAGAGCAAACCUUGUGACAGGAGCGGAGGAACCACACGUUUCUCCGGGCGUCCGGCGCCACGACUCCGGACGUCCUUGGGGUGAAGUACUCGCCCGGAUCGCGACUCGUCGCGGACCGGGGGAGAGCCGGGCACCUUUCCGCCCGAACCCGACAGCUAACUUCGUAGGCGCGGAGAGGUACA